UUGGUUUCUUUGCUGACGAGUGGCGGACGGGUGAGUAAUGCUUGGGUAUCUGGCUUAUGGAGGGGGAUAACUACGGGAAACUGUAGCUAAUACCGCGUAGUAUCGGAAGAUGAAAGUGUGGGACCGUAAGGCCACAUGCCAUAGGAUGAGCCCAAGUGGGAUUAGGUAGUUGGUGAGGUAAUGGCUCACCAAGCCGACGAUCUCUAGCUGGUCUGAGAGGAUGACCAGCCACACCGGGACUGAGACACGGCCCGGACUCCUACGGGAGGCAGCAGUGGGGAAUAUUGCGCAAUGGGGGCAACCCUGACGCAGCCAUGCCGCGUGAAUGAAGAAGGCCUUCGGGUUGUAAAGUUCUUUCGGUAGCGAGGAAGGCAUUUAGUU
RNAcentral lists this ribosomal RNA (381 nucleotides) under Parahaemophilus pittmaniae. RNAcentral's name for it is "Haemophilus pittmaniae bacterial SSU rRNA". It matches the Rfam family "Bacterial small subunit ribosomal RNA", at positions 76 to 460 of the family's 1533-position model. Lineage: Bacteria; Pseudomonadati; Pseudomonadota; Gammaproteobacteria; Pasteurellales; Pasteurellaceae. The record is from RNAcentral.